GGGACUUGUGGGCUGUAGCUGCUGUGAACUGAAGGGAGGGAGAAACUCGAGCAGCUUAAAGUGAAUUUUAGUUUGGUUCUGUCGUGGUGUGUUACCCUGAGUCACAGUAAAUACAAACCUGCAGCAACUGCCUGGCUCAGCUGCUGCUGCUGGAAAGGGAAUUUGCUGAGGGUUUGACACAAAUGGUCCAGGCAUCCCUUUCAUAAACAUAUGCAAUAUAUUCCAGAUGUUGAGAGAGUACAGAAGAAGAGGCCUGCAUCCCUUGCAGAUAAGUUUAUUGUUGUUCUCCCGAGCUCUGCAGGAUGGGUGUGCAGAACUGCUGCCACUGUCACUGCUCUGCUGUGGCAGCUUGUGCUGUGACUCUGAGUCCUCUCUGAGCUGGGGCUGGAGCUGCCCCCACUCCCACGGGAAUUGGCACAGCUGCCUUGGGCAGGCUCAGUGGGCUCAGCCCUGCUGGGCUGUAGCUUUACAGCUACUUUAGAUAAAUCCUGAAAUGUUGCAGUUGUGCUGUGCAGUGCCUGCCCUGCCCCAGGGAUCCCACCUCAGCUGUGUCUGCUCUUCUUUAGCAACCUGGGAGUGUGGCUGAGGACGUGACCAAGGGUGGCAUGGAGAGAACAACCAUCCAGAGGAGCAUUUCCUUCAGCCCUAAAAACACAAUGGCCAAGCCUGCCCUGCAGAAGCCAGUGAGCCAUGCUGUGGUUAAGGAGCCAGUGGUUUCUCCAGCCAGGGAGGAUGACAGGAAGGGAAGCCCCUAUGGGCAGUGGGUUCCUGUCAAGAAGGAGGAGAAGAAAACAUUCCUGAACUUCUCACCCAAAAGCUCCCUGUUCCGAGCACGCUGAUGGGAUUCCCUGUCAGACUGCAGCACUUCACACCCCUCAGUAGAGAGACAGAGAUUUCUCGUGGGCUUGAAGUUUUGUUAAUACUGAGUAUUUAUUUUGAGGUCUUAAUUUUUGGAAUCUUAGGUUUCUCUUUCAGAUAGAGAGCACACAGAUCCAGAAGCCACAGAUGGGAAUCUUGUGUAUAUUUGUAAAUAUUUUGUAUUGCUUUAUUGGACUAGAACUUGCAGGUGGGUAACUUUUUCUAAACCAUAGUUCAGUAGCUGUUCUUUGAACACCUGGAUUUACAUUGUGUAACUGUUUACUUGAAGUGAAUAAAGUUUUAGUUUUGCACUGGC
This is a non-coding RNA of Cyanistes caeruleus (blue tit), 1174 nucleotides long. Lineage: Eukaryota; Metazoa; Chordata; Aves; Passeriformes; Paridae. The record is from RefSeq and is a predicted model, not a curated record.